This 492-nucleotide ribosomal RNA is filed under the name uncultured bacterium. RNAcentral's name for it is "partial 16S ribosomal RNA". It matches the Rfam family "Bacterial small subunit ribosomal RNA", at positions 29 to 507 of the family's 1533-position model. The record is from RNAcentral.
AGUGAACGCUGGCGGUAGGCCUAACACAUGCAAGUCGAACGGCAGCACAGUAAGAGCUUGCUCUUACGGGUGGCGAGUGGCGGACGGGUGAGGAGUACAUCGGAAUCUACUUUUUCGUGGGGGAUAACGUAGGGAAACUUACGCUAAUACCGCAUACGACCUACGGGUGAAAGCAGGGGAUCUUCGGACCUUGCGCGUUUGAAUGAGCUGAUGUCGGAUUAGCUAGUUGGCGGGGUAAAGGCCCACCAAGGCGACGAUCCGUAGCUGACCUGAGAGGAUGAUCAGCCACACUGGAACUGAGACACGGUCCAGACUCCUACGGGAGGCAGCAGUAGGGAAUAUUGCGCAAUGGGCGAAAGCCUGAUCGAGCAACACCGCGUGAGUGAAGAAGGCCUUCGGGUCGUAAAGCCCUUUUAUUGGGAAAGAAAAGCAGUAUGUUUAUACCUGGCUGUUUUGACGGUACCCAAACAAUAAGCACCGGCUAACUACGUG